RNAcentral lists this ribosomal RNA (274 nucleotides) under uncultured bacterium. RNAcentral's name for it is "partial 16S ribosomal RNA". It matches the Rfam family "Bacterial small subunit ribosomal RNA", at positions 524 to 796 of the family's 1533-position model. The record is from RNAcentral.
UACGGAGGGGGCUAGCGUUGUUCGGAAUUACUGGGCGUAAAGCGCGCGUAGGCGGAUCAGUCAGUCAGGGGUGAAAUCCCGGGGCUCAACCCCGGAACUGCCUUUGAUACUGCUGAUCUCGAGGACAGGAGAGGAGAGUGGAAUUCCCAGUGUAGAGGUGAAAUUCGUAGAUAUUGGGAAGAACACCAGUGGCGAAGGCGGCUCACUGGCCUGGUAAUCGACGCUGAGGUGCGAAAGCGUGGGGAGCAAACAGGAUUAGAUACCCCUGUAGUCC